Non-coding RNA from Schistosoma mansoni, 46 nucleotides. The record is from Rfam. Lineage: Eukaryota; Metazoa; Platyhelminthes; Trematoda; Strigeidida; Schistosomatidae.
GCACUGCUGAGGAGUCCCAUACUUGGACGAAACGGCCGUCCAAUGC